AUGGCUGCGGUAUGUGCCGAGCCAGAGUUUGUGCUUAAUGAAAAAUUAGGUCGUUCAAGCGGCCGAGGCGCCUUUCGUGCAGCGGGGCGUUUGUGCGCCGAAAAUCUUUGUGUGCUUCAUCUUCCACCUUUGUUUGUGCGAGUGAGAGAAAGUGAGUGCAACAACAGUUUUGCCCAUGCACCAGUUGGUGUGUGCCAGGGCAUUGCAACCAACUCAGGUUGCCACUUUGUUCCAAGCCUGAAUGGCAAGCAGUCAUUCCCAGAAGAGGUGCAAAGAGGUCUCGAGGUUCCUCACACACAGCUGACAGAAGUAGCUAUUGUCCCAACCUCAUCGAUGUAG
RNAcentral lists this ribosomal RNA (339 nucleotides) under Triticum aestivum (bread wheat). RNAcentral's name for it is "partial small subunit ribosomal RNA". The record is from RNAcentral. Lineage: Eukaryota; Viridiplantae; Streptophyta; Magnoliopsida; Poales; Poaceae.